Molecule: ribosomal RNA, 918 nt
Filed under: Neonectria sp. OGP2
Lineage: Eukaryota; Fungi; Ascomycota; Sordariomycetes; Hypocreales; Nectriaceae
Description: LSU rRNA
Rfam family: Eukaryotic large subunit ribosomal RNA
Source: RNAcentral
AACUUAAGCAUAUCAAUAAGCGGAGGAAAAGAAACCAACAGGGAUUGCCCUAGUAACGGCGAGUGAAGCGGCAACAGCUCAAAUUUGAAAUCUGGCCUUCGGGUCCGAGUUGUAAUUUGUAGAGGAUGCUUUUGGUGAGGUGCCUUCCGAGUUCCCUGGAACGGGACGCCAUAGAGGGUGAGAGCCCCGUCUGGUUGGACACCGAUCCUCUGUAAAGCUCCUUCAACGAGUCGAGUAGUUUGGGAAUGCUGCUCUAAAUGGGAGGUAUAUGUCUUCUAAAGCUAAAUAUUGGCCAGAGACCGAUAGCGCACAAGUAGAGUGAUCGAAAGAUGAAAAGCACUUUGAAAAGAGAGUUAAAAAGUACGUGAAAUUGUUGAAAGGGAAGCGCUCAUGACCAGACUUGGGCUUGGUUGAUCAUCCAGGGUUCUCCCUGGUGCACUCUUCCAGUUCAGGCCAGCAUCAGUUCGCUGCGGGGGAUAAAAGGCUUUGGGAAUGUGGCUCCCUCGGGAGUGUUAUAGCCCAUUGUGUAAUACCCUGUGGUGGACUGAGGACCGCGCUUCGGCAAGGAUGCUGGCGUAAUGGUCAUCAGUGACCCGUCUUGAAACACGGACCAAGGAGUCGUCUUCGUAUGCGAGUGUUCGGGUGUUAAACCCCUACGCGUAAUGAAAGUGAACGCAGGUGAGAGCUUCGGCGCAUCAUCGACCGAUCCUGAUGUUCUCGGAUGGAUUUGAGUAAGAGCAUACGGGGCCGGACCCGAAAGAAGGUGAACUAUGCCUGUAUAGGGUGAAGCCAGAGGAAACUCUGGUGGAGGCUCGCAGCGGUUCUGACGUGCAAAUCGAUCGUCAAAUAUGGGCAUGGGGGCGAAAGACUAAUCGAACCUUCUAGUAGCUGGUUUCCGCCGAAGUUUCCCUCAAGAAA